RNAcentral lists this long non-coding RNA (783 nucleotides) under Struthio camelus australis. RNAcentral's name for it is "lncRNA (ENSSCUG00000017519.1)". The record is from RNAcentral. Lineage: Eukaryota; Metazoa; Chordata; Aves; Struthioniformes; Struthionidae.
GUGUGUGGUGGAGCGGCUCGGCUCCCCGCUGUGCUUGGGCUUGGCGUGUGUCAAGGAGCUCCAGCACAAAGCUCUGCCGGCCGAACUGUGCUGACCCAGUAGCUGCCCUUCCUUCCACAGGAAUGAAGUAGUGAACAGCAGCAGCCUGUGAGGAGCUUUGCUGCUAUUCAGAAGCCGGUGGGGUGAUGUUGCAGCUUCCAGGAGCUGAGGGUUCAAAUCCAAGAAAGGGCUUGGAGUGAAGUGAAUCCUCUAAACAAGGAAGUCUUUUCUCAUGACACCUCGUGGUCUUGGUGCUGGGAGGAGAGCAGGGUGAGCCCUGCUUUCCCCACUGUUGGAGAUGCGUGCUGGGACCCCUCGCCUCCCCUGCUGUUCCCCCUCCCUGCUCGCGGGCACCGCGCUGACGCCUCGGUGAGAUCAGACGCUUUGCUCAGGGUCCCCUCGGUGCCGAGGGACUGCAGCGUUAGCCCAGGUCAUGUUUUAAUUUAGACCGGCCGCUCAUCUCGCUUCCCGACCGCAACCACCUUCUUUUCUAUUUAUACCAGCCUGAUGCUCCGCUGAUGCCAUCCCCUCUCGGCAGACGGGCAAUUCACAGCGAUUGCUGAAAGAGGAGAGGCCGAAGGGGAAUUCUGGGCUCCGAGCUCGGCCCGCGGCGCGGCUCGCCCGCGUUUCUGCACGAGGGGGAGGGCAGGUGAGGCACGGCGGGGGUUAACGGAGCCUGAGCAGCCCGGUGGGACAGGGCUGAACUGGGUCCGUUCCCUCCUUCCCCUCCCAGGAAGCGAUGCU